GCCUGCCCACCCUGGUAUGAGGCCAGGGAGGGGCAACACAGUGGACGGUGUAGUGAUGUAGCAGCUCAUGCUGUGAGAUGACUCCAGUGAGAGGUUGGAUCGUGAUCUUAGUGUGAAGUCUACAUGUCUGCUCUGUAACUAGCCUGGUUUCCUGUCUGCUCCUGUUUUCUAUCUCACCCCAAAGAUACGCUAGAGCUUUAAAUGACUAAUGUGCUACCUCUAGUGUAGGUGGGUGACAGGAGGAUUGACAAUAAUUGAUAAGCAUCCGAGCGUGAACAGUUUUCAGUAAAAGCAGGAGGACUUUGGGAAAAGACUGAUAGCCUAGCUCUGAUUGUGUCCUCUACGUCAUAAGCAAACAUCAUAUUUAAAAAAUGCUAGGAUUUGUGAAGAUGAUCAUUUUAAAAUCAAGAUGCAACUUAACUAGCAGGUACUGGGACCACACGAUAGGCUCCACAGUUGGGACCCUUUCCAGGCUGAAACUCAGAUUGAAAAUACACUAGAGAACUCUACACAACGGCUUCAGGACAUUGGAGUUCACAUCAUCUCGGCCAAUGCUUUGCUGUGUCAGUUUCCCUACAGCUCUUCUCACAUUGCUUAGUAAUGAAGCCAACAGCAUCUGUCCCUUCUGAAGAACAUGCGCUGCAUUUAAAAAAAAACUUGACCAUUUCUCGUUGCACU
This is a long non-coding RNA of Hypanus sabinus (Atlantic stingray), 678 nucleotides long. RefSeq lists it as uncharacterized. The record is from RefSeq and is a predicted model, not a curated record. Lineage: Eukaryota; Metazoa; Chordata; Chondrichthyes; Myliobatiformes; Dasyatidae. The transcript has 3 exons.